RNAcentral lists this ribosomal RNA (251 nucleotides) under uncultured bacterium. RNAcentral describes it as "partial 16S ribosomal RNA". It matches the Rfam family "Bacterial small subunit ribosomal RNA", at positions 526 to 776 of the family's 1533-position model. The record is from RNAcentral.
CGUAGGGUGCGAGCGUUGUCCGGAAUUAUUGGGCGUAAAGAGCUCGUAGGCGGUUUGUCGCGUCGGCCGUGAAAACUUGGGGCUUAACUCCAAGCUUGCGGUCGAUACGGGCAGACUUGAGUUCGGCAGGGGAGACUGGAAUUCCUGGUGUAGCGGUGAAAUGCGCAGAUAUCAGGAGGAACACCGGUGGCGAAGGCGGGUCUCUGGGCCGACACUGACGCUGAGGAGCGAAAGCGUGGGGAGCGAACAGG